This 324-nucleotide ribosomal RNA is filed under the name uncultured eukaryote. RNAcentral's name for it is "partial 18S ribosomal RNA". It matches the Rfam family "Eukaryotic small subunit ribosomal RNA", at positions 1470 to 1796 of the family's 1831-position model. The record is from RNAcentral.
CCCUUAGAUGUUCUGGGCCGCACGCGCGCUACACUGAUGCAUUCAACGAGUUUCUUCCUGGUCCGAGAGGAAUGGGUAACCUUUUGAAAGUGCAUCGUGAUAGGGAUAGACUAUUGCAAUUAUUGGUCUUCAACGAGGAAUUCCUAGUAGACGUAGUUCAUCAGACUGCAUCGAUUACGUCCCUGCCCUUUGUACACACCGCCCGUCGCUCCUACCGAUUGAAUGCUCAGGUGAGCCAUUCGGACUUUCAUCAUGCUGGUUUCCAGUUUUGAUGAAGGAAAGUCUUGCGAACCUUAUCAUUUAGAGGAAGGAGAANUCGUANCA